GACGAACGCUGGCGGCGUGCUUAACACAUGCAAGUCGAACGGAAAGGCCCUGCUUUUGUGGGGUGCUCGAGUGGCGAACGGGUGAGUAACACGUGAGUAACCUGCCCUUGACUUUGGGAUAACUUCAGGAAACUGGGGCUAAUACCGGAUAGGAGCUCCUGCUGCAUGGUGGGGGUUGGAAAGUUUCGGCGGUUGGGGAUGGACUCGCGGCUUAUCAGCUUGUUGGUGGGGUAGUGGCUUACCAAGGCUUUGACGGGUAGCCGGCCUGAGAGGGUGACCGGCCACAUUGGGACUGAGAUACGGCCCAGACUCCUACGGGAGGCAGCAGUGGGGAAUAUUGCACAAUGGGCGGAAGCCUGAUGCAGCAACGCCGCGUGCGGGAUGACGGCCUUCGGGUUGUAAACCGCUUUCGCCUGUGACGAAGCGUGAGUGACGGUAAUGGGUAAAGAAGCACCGGCUAACUACGUGCCAGCAGCCGCGGUGAUACGUAGGGUGCGAGCGUUGUCCGGAUUUAUUGGGCGUAAAGGGCUCGUAGGUGGUUGAUCGCGUCGGAAGUGUAAUCUUGGGGCUUAACCCUGAGCGUGCUUUCGAUACGGGUUGACUUGAGGAAGGUAGGGGAGAAUGGAAUUCCUGGUGGAGCGGUGGAAUGCGCAGAUAUCAGGAGGAACACCAGUGGCGAAGGCGGUUCUCUGGGCCUUUCCUGACGCUGAGGAGCGAAAGCGUGGGGAGCGAACAGGCUUAGAUACCCUGGUAGUCCACGCUGUAAACGGUGGGUACUAGGUGUGGGGUCCAUUCCACGGGUUCCGUGCCGUAGCUAACGCUUUAAGUACCCCGCCUGGGGAGUACGGCCGCAAGGCUAAAACCCAAAGGAAUUGACGGGGCCCCGCACAAGCGGCGGAGCAUGCGGAUUAAUUCGAUGCAACGCGUAGAACCUUACCUGGGUUUGACAUGGAUCGGGAGUGCUCAGAGAUGGGUGUGCCUCUUUUGGGGUCGGUUCACAGGUGGUGCAUGGCUGUCGUCAGCUCGUGUCGUGAGAUGUUGGGUUAAGUCCCGCAACGAGCGCAACCCUUGUUCACUGUUGCCAGCACGUUAUGGUGGGGACUCAGUGGAGACCGCCGGGGUCAACUCGGAGGAAGGUGGGGAUGACGUCAAGUCAUCAUGCCCCUUAUGUCCAGGGCUUCACGCAUGCUACAAUGGCUGGUACAGAGAGUGGCGAGCCUGUGAGGGUGAGCGAAUCUCGGAAAGCCGGUCUCAGUUCGGAUUGGGGUCUGCAACUCGACCUCAUGAAGUCGGAGUCGCUAGUAAUCGCAGAUCAGCAACGCUGCGGUGAAUACGUUCCCGGGGCU
Molecule: ribosomal RNA, 1346 nt
Filed under: uncultured bacterium
Lineage: Bacteria
Description: partial 16S ribosomal RNA
Rfam family: Bacterial small subunit ribosomal RNA
Source: RNAcentral